This 500-nucleotide ribosomal RNA is filed under the name uncultured bacterium. RNAcentral's name for it is "partial 16S ribosomal RNA". It matches the Rfam family "Bacterial small subunit ribosomal RNA", at positions 30 to 523 of the family's 1533-position model. The record is from RNAcentral.
AUUGAACGCUGGCGGCAGGCCUAACACAUGCAAGUCGAGCGGAUGAGGGUAGCUUGCUACCUGAUUCAGCGGCGGACGGGUGAGUAAUGCCUAGGAAUCUGCCCGAUAGUGGGGGACAACGUUUCGAAAGGAACGCUAAUACCGCAUACGUCCUAUGGGAGAAAGUGGGGGAUCUUCGGACCUCACGCUAUCGGAUGAGCCUAGGUCGGAUUAGCUAGUUGGUGAGGUAAUGGCUCACCAAGGCUACGAUCCGUAACUGGUCUGAGAGGAUGAUCAGUCACACUGGAACUGAGGCACGGUCCAGACUCCUACGGGAGGCAGCAGUGGGGAAUAUUGGACAAUGGGCGAAAGCCUGAUCCAGCCAAGCCGCGUGUGUGAAGAAGGUCUUCGGAUUGUAAAGCACUUUAAGUUGGGAGGAAGGGCUGUAGGCUAAUAUCCUGCAGUUUUGACGUUACCAACAGAAUAAGCACCGGCUAACUUCGUGCCAGCCGCCGCCGUAA